UUGCUUAGGCUCCGCUCCAUUGCCAAUAAAGGUAGCAUCCAACUAUAAAAUCCGUAGGGUGUAUUCAAGGACUCCUACAAAACAAGAGACUCACUUGUGCUGGUAGAAAAACCUAUACCUAAGAAACUCAUUUUCCAAUCAGAAAUAUCUGUUUUUCAAUAGUUCAACUAAAUGGGAGGACAUAAAACUCAACGGAAGUCUUCUUUUUCUUUUUUUGGCAUCUUCAAAAUCAAGAAGAGUCAUAUAGGUGGUGGGAACGAUACAUGGGAUGACUCAAUGAAGGCUUAUAAAGUGUAUCCAAGUGAUCAAGACAGAGCAGGACGUUGGGCUGAUCCUCGUAUUGACAACAAAGCUUCUGUUUACAUCGACACCAUCACAAACAAAUGGAACCAUGUUGAGGUAUCAGGUUGAUUGACUUCAUGGUUCGGAUGAACCAGAUGAACGAACCCCUUUGUGCAUUCAUCAUGUAGCAUGUAUAAUACUAGCUAGCUAGCCAAUAUUUCAAUUGCAAAUAUACAAUAAAUUGGUUAAUUAAUUUGACAUCAUUGUUACAAUUUAUCUUGGCGUUACCAUUUUCAAAAGUUCAUUUACGGUUGAUAUGAUAUCAAGAUAUUUCCGAAUCUAUAGUUCUAUCUCUUUCUUCAAAAGUUUUUAUUAUUUCAUGGAUGCCAUAUAUAUAUAUAUAUANNNNNNNNNNNNNNNNNNNNNNNNNNNNNNNNNNNNNNNNNNNNNNNNNNNNNNNNNNNNNNNNNNNNNNNNNUAUAUAUAUAUAUAUAUGAAAAUCUCCAGAAAAGUCCUAAAAUUUUAUCCUAAUUUACGAAAAAGUCCCAAACUAAAAUUUGUUUACGAAAAAACAUGAAUUACCGGUAAAAAUAACGAUUUGACCCAUUUUCCCGGUUUACCGGUUUCAUUACUUACCUGUUUCAUUAAAGUCACAUUAUUUUACCCUAAUUUACGAAUAAGUCUCAAACUAAAAUUUAAUGAUGAUUUGAGCAUUUUCUCUAUGUAACAUACAUUUUAGUGGUUUCAUUUUUGACCCGGAUGCCUAAUCAUUAAAUGAGUUGAUGAAAUGAAUAUGUUGAGUUAAUAUAAUGUUAUGUUUUGCAUAAAACUUGAUAUCUUGAUCUAUUGUAUAUUUUUUUGAAAAUAAAAUGUAUCCAACAAAGACUACAAUAAUUACAUAAACUAGCAACAACUACGUUUGUUUUUACGUUUAUAAGAAAUAUCAAAUUGUCUAUCUAAUCUUAUGUAACCCAAUAUAUCCAUCUUUUCAGACAUCUACUCAUUUUCUGCCAUUUUUUCCUCGAAUCACACAUUUUAUUGGUUUCUUGCUGACCUAGAUACAUAGUCAUAAAUGAGUCGAUGAGAUGUAUAUCAAAUUUUACAGUAAAUGUAGCAUUAUAUAACUCAUCGUAUCUAUCUUAUCAGCUAAUUUAAUGACUAGGUGCCUAAGUCAGCAAUGAAACCGAUAAAUGUAUGUUACAUGAAGAAAAUGGUCAAAUCAUCACUAAAUUUUAUUUUGGGACUUAUUCGUAAAUUAAAGUAGAAUAAUGAGGUAUGCUCUGGGGGAGCCCAUGGCAUCCUUAUGCAGGGAUAUAUGGUAGAUAUAAUUUUUAUAGCUAAUUUUGUGUGGUAGAGAUAGCUUUAUGGCUAAUAUGAUAUGUUAUGUGGUAGAGAUAGCUUUUAUAGCUAAUAUGUUAUGUGUUAUGUGGCUUGUGUGUGGGGUAUGCUCUGGGGGACUCACUAAGCAUUAGCUUACAGUUUAUGGAUUUGUUUCAGGUACACUUGAGCCCAAAGGCAAGGGCAAGGUUUGAUGGUGCGGCGUGCACUCUCUCACCGACAUUUUAUGGGAUACUCUAAUGUUUUUAACUAAAGUUGUAAUGAAUGUAGAUUUAAAAACUAUUG
Molecule: long non-coding RNA, 1905 nt
Filed under: Lactuca sativa (garden lettuce)
Lineage: Eukaryota; Viridiplantae; Streptophyta; Magnoliopsida; Asterales; Asteraceae
Description: long non-coding RNA (LSAT_LNC007334)
Source: RNAcentral